Molecule: ribosomal RNA, 974 nt
Filed under: Bursaphelenchus sp.
Lineage: Eukaryota; Metazoa; Nematoda; Chromadorea; Rhabditida; Aphelenchoididae
Description: SSU rRNA
Rfam family: Eukaryotic small subunit ribosomal RNA
Source: RNAcentral
CUCAAAGAUUAAGCCAUGCAUGUCUAAGUGGAGUGUUAUACAGCGAAACUGCGAACGGCUCAUUACAACAGAUAUAAUUUACUAGUUCUUGAUCCUAUAUGGAUAACUGCGGUAAUUCUGGAGCCAAUACAUGCAUCAAGCUUCGGCCUUCGGGUUCGGAGUGCAAUUAUUGGAGCAAAACCAGUCUCGUACUGUUUGCUAACUCUGGAUAAUUCUGCUUAUCGCAUGGUCUUGUACCGGCGAAGUUUCUUUCAAGUAUCUGCUUUAUCAACUAUCGUUGGUAGUUUAUUGGACUACCAUGGUGUUGACGGGUAACGGAGAAUCAGGGUUUGACUCCGGAGAGGGAGCCUUAGAAACGGCUACCAUGUCUAAGGAUAGCAGCAGGCGCGAAAAUUACCCAAUAUCAAUUCGAUGAGGUAGUGACGAGAAAUAACGAGAUCGUUCUCUUUGAGGUCGAUUAUUGGAAUGAGUACAAUCCAGAAAUUUUAACGAGUAUCUACGAGAGGGCAAGUCUGGUGCCAGCAGCCGCGGUAAUUCCAGCUCUCGUAAUGUAUAGAAUUAUUGUUGCGAUUAAAAAGUUCGUAGUUGGAUUGUCACGCGGGCAUGGGUCCACCUUCGUGGUGCGUACUCAAUGUUCGCAUUUUGUUGGUUUUCGCGGCGUUGUUUCGGCAGCGUCCGUGAUGCCAGCAGGAUUACUUUGAACGGCUCAAGUGCUCAAAGCGAGUCUUAUGACUGAAUACCGGUGCAUGGAAUAAUGGAACAAGGUUGCGGCCGAGUUUUAUUGGUUUUGUCGGCUGAAACAAUGGUUAACAGGAACAGCCGGGGGCAUUCGUAUCGCUGCGCGAGAGGUGAAAUUCGUGGACCGUAGCGAGACGCCCGACAGCGAAGGCAUUUGCCAAGAGUGUUUUCAUUAAUCAAGAACGAAAGUCAGAGGUUCGAAGGCGAUUAGAUACCGCCCUAGUUCUGACCGUAAA